This 253-nucleotide ribosomal RNA is filed under the name uncultured bacterium. Its description in RNAcentral is "partial 16S ribosomal RNA". It matches the Rfam family "Bacterial small subunit ribosomal RNA", at positions 524 to 776 of the family's 1533-position model. The record is from RNAcentral.
UACGUAGGGUGCGAGCGUUGUCCGGAAUUAUUGGGCGUAAAGGGCUCGUAGGCGGUCUGUCGCGUCAGGAGUGAAAACUCGGGGCUUAACCCCGAGCCUGCUUCUGAUACGGGCAGACUAGAGGUAUGCAGGGGAGAACGGAAUUCCUGGUGUAGCGGUGAAAUGCGCAGAUAUCAGGAGGAACACCGGUGGCGAAGGCGGGUCUCUGGGCAGUAACUGACGCUGAGGAGCGAAAGCGUGGGGAGCGAACAGG